Molecule: ribosomal RNA, 384 nt
Filed under: uncultured eukaryote
Lineage: Eukaryota
Description: partial 18S ribosomal RNA
Rfam family: Eukaryotic small subunit ribosomal RNA
Source: RNAcentral
CAAUAGCGUAUAUUAAAGUUGUUGCAGUUAAAAAGCUCGUAGUUGGAUCUCGGCGAGUAGGGGGCGGUUAGUUGCUUAACUGUACUGCUCCAUUUACUCGUGUUUUUGACGGAGGUUGCCGGGUGCUCUUCAUCGAGUGUCCGGUGAUGCCGUCAGGUUUACUUUGAAAAAAAUAGAGUGCUCAAAGCAGGCUUCACACGCUUGAAUAUUCGUGCAUGGAAUAAUAGAAUAGGACGUCGUUUCUAUUUUGUUGGUUUUCGGAAAUUGACGUAAUGAUUAAUAGGGACAGUCGGGGGCAUUAGUAUUCAAACGACAGAGGUGAAAUUCUUGGACCGUUUGAAGACUAACUACUGCGAAAGCAUUUGCCAAGAAUGUUUUCAUUAA